AGCGUACACGGUGGAUGCCCUGGCAGUCAGAGGCGAUGAAGGGCGUGCUAAUCUGCGAUAAGCGCCGGUAAGGUGAUAUGAACCGUUAUAACCGGCGAUACCCGAAUGGGGAAACCCAGUGUGACUCGUCACACUAUCAUUAACUGAAUCCAUAGGUUAAUGAGGCGAACCGGGGGAACUGAAACAUCUAAGUACCCCGAGGAAAAGAAAUCAACCGAGAUUCCCCCAGUAGCGGCGAGCGAACGGGGAGGAGCCCAGAGCCUGAAUCAGCAUGUGUGUUAGUGGAAGCGUCUGGAAAGGCGCGCGAUACAGGGUGACAGCCCCGUACACAAAAGCGCAUGUGCUGUGAGCUCGAUGAGUAGGGCGGGACACGUGGUAUCCUGUCUGAAUAUGGGGGGACCAUCCUCCAAGGCUAAAUACUCCUGACUGACCGAUAGUGAACCAGUACCGUGAGGGAAAGGCGAAAAGAACCCCGGCGAGGGGAGUGAAAAAGAACCUGAAACCGU
RNAcentral lists this ribosomal RNA (506 nucleotides) under Salmonella enterica subsp. enterica serovar Enteritidis. RNAcentral describes it as "partial 23S ribosomal RNA". It matches the Rfam family "Bacterial large subunit ribosomal RNA", at positions 14 to 559 of the family's 2925-position model. Lineage: Bacteria; Pseudomonadati; Pseudomonadota; Gammaproteobacteria; Enterobacterales; Enterobacteriaceae. The record is from RNAcentral.